AUUGAACGCUGGCGGCAGGCCUAACACAUGCAAGUCGAACGGUAGCACAGAGAGCUUGCUCUCGGGUGACGAGUGGCGGACGGGUGAGUAAUGUCUGGGAAACUGCCCGAUGGAGGGGGAUAACUACUGGAAACGGUAGCUAAUACCGCAUAACGUCGCAAGACCAAAGUGGGGGACCUUCGGGCCUCACACCAUCGGAUGUGCCCAGAUGGGAUUAGCUAGUAGGUGGGGUAAUGGCUCACCUAGGCGACGAUCCCUAGCUGGUCUGGGAGGAUGACCAGCCACACUGGAACUGAGACACGGGCCAGACUCCUACGGGAGGCAGCAGUGGGGAAUAUUGCACAAUGGGCGCAAGCCUGAUGCAGCCAUGCCGCGUGUAUGAAGAAGGCCUUCGGGUUGUAAAGUACUUUCAGCGGGGAGGAAGGCGGUGGAGUUAAUAACUUCACCGAUUGACGUUACCCGCAGAAGAAGCACCGGCUAACUCCGUGCCAGCCGCCGCCGUAA
Molecule: ribosomal RNA, 504 nt
Filed under: uncultured bacterium
Lineage: Bacteria
Description: partial 16S ribosomal RNA
Rfam family: Bacterial small subunit ribosomal RNA
Source: RNAcentral